This 720-nucleotide ribosomal RNA is filed under the name uncultured bacterium. RNAcentral describes it as "bacterial SSU rRNA". It matches the Rfam family "Bacterial small subunit ribosomal RNA", at positions 29 to 723 of the family's 1533-position model. The record is from RNAcentral.
AUGAACGCUGGCGGCGUGCCUAACACAUGCAAGUCGAACGAGAAAGUCCGAGCUUGCUCGGAUUAGUAAAGUGGCGCACGGGUGAGUAACGCGUGGGUAACCUACCCUUGAAACUGGGAUAACUUCGCGAAAGCGAUGCUAAUACCGGAUGUCGUCUUUGGGACUGUGGUUUUGGAGAUGAAAGGUGACCUCUUCAUGAAAGUUGCCGUUUGAGGAUGGGCUCGCGUACCAUUAGCUAGUUGGUGGGGUAAUGGCCCACCAAGGCAUCGAUGGUUAGCUGGUCUGAGAGGAUGAUCAGCCACACUGGAACUGGAACACGGUCCAGACUCCUACGGGAGGCAGCAGUGAGGAAUUUUGCGCAAUGGGGGCAACCCUGACGCAGCAACGCCGCGUGAGUGAAGAAGGCUUUCGGGUCGUAAAGCUCUGUCAAAUGGGAAAAAGGCCUUUAGUUGAAUAGGCUAAAGGAUUGAUGGUACCAUUGGAGGAAGCACCGGCUAACUCCGUGCCAGCAGCCGCGGUAAUACGGAGGGUGCGAGCGUUGUUCGGAAUUAUUGGGCGUAAAGAGCGUGUAGGCGGGUUGGUAAGUCAGAUGUGAAAGCCCCGGGCUCAACCCGGGAAGUGCAUUUGAAACUGCCUUUCUUGAGUAUGGGAGAGGAGAGUGGAAUUCCNGUGUAAAGGUGAAAUUCGUAGAUAUUGGGAGGAACACCCGUGGCGAAGGCG